This 497-nucleotide ribosomal RNA is filed under the name uncultured bacterium. RNAcentral describes it as "partial 16S ribosomal RNA". It matches the Rfam family "Bacterial small subunit ribosomal RNA", at positions 28 to 507 of the family's 1533-position model. The record is from RNAcentral.
GAUGAACGCUGGCGGCGUGCCUAAUACAUGCAAGUCGAGCGAACAGACGAGGAGCUUGCUCCUCUGACGUUAGCGGCGGACGGGUGAGUAACACGUGGAUAACCUACCUAUAAGACUGGGAUAACUUCGGGAAACCGGAGCUAAUACCGGAUAAUAUAUUUAACCGCAUGGUUCAAUAGUGAAAGACGGUUUUGCUGUCACUUAUAGAUGUAUCCGCGCCGCUUUAGCUAGUUGUUAAGGUAACGGCUUCCCAAGGCAAGAAUGAGUAGCCUACCGGAGAGGGGGAUCGGCAAAACGGGAACUGAGACACGGUCAAGACUCCUACGGGAGGCAGCAGUAGGAAAUCUUCCGCAAUGGGCGAAAGCUUGACGGAGCAACGCCGCGUGAGUGAUGAAGGUCUUCGGAUCGUAAAACUCUGUUAUUAGGGAAGAACAAAUGUGUAAGUAACUAUGCACGUCUUGACGGUACCUAAUCAGAAAGCCACGGCUAACUACGUG